RNAcentral lists this ribosomal RNA (447 nucleotides) under uncultured bacterium. RNAcentral's name for it is "partial 16S ribosomal RNA". It matches the Rfam family "Bacterial small subunit ribosomal RNA", at positions 29 to 523 of the family's 1533-position model. The record is from RNAcentral.
AGCGAACGCUGGCGGCAGGCUUAACACAUGCGAGUCGAACGCCCCGCAAGGGGAGUGGCAGACGGGUGAGUAACACGUGGGAACGUACCCUUUGGUUCGGAAUAACUUGGGGAAACUCAAGCUAAUACCGGAUAAGCCCUUAUGGGGAAAGGUUUACUGCCGAAGGAUCGGCCCGCGUCUGAUUAGCUAGUUGGUGAGGUAAUGGCUCACCAAGGCGACGAUCAGUAGCUGGUCUGAGAGGAUGAUCAGCCACACUGGGACUGAGACACGGCCCAGGCUCCUACGGGAGGCAGCAGUGGGGAGUAUUGGACAAUGGGGGCAACCCUGAUCCAGCCAUGCCGCGUGAGUGAUGAAGGCCUUAGGGUUGUAAAGCUCUUUUACCCGGGACGAUAAUGACUGUACCGGGAGAAUAAGCCCCGGCUAACUUCGUGCCAGCCGCCGCGGUAA